UGAAAUCUGGCCCUCGGGUCCGAGUUGUAAUUUGUAGAGGAUGCUUUUGGUGCGGUGCCUUCCGAGUUCCCUGGAACGGGACGCCAUAGAGGGUGAGAGCCCCGUCUGGUUGGACGCCAAUCCUCUGUAAAGCUCCUUCGACGAGUCGAGUAGUUUGGGAAUGCUGCUCUAAAUGGGAGGUAUAUGUCUUCUAAAGCUAAAUACCGGCCAGAGACCGAUAGCGCACAAGUAGAGUGAUCGAAAGAUGAAAAGCACUUUGAAAAGAGAGUUAAAAAGUACGUGAAAUUGUUGAAAGGGAAGCGCUUGUGACCAGACUUGGGCUUGGUUAAUCAUCCAGCGUUCUCGCUGGUGCACUUUUCCAGUUCAGGCCAGCAUCAGUUUGUCGCGGGGGAUAAAGGCUUCGGGAAUGUGGCUCCUCCGGGAGUGUUAUAGCCCGUUGCGUAAUACCCUGCGGUGGACUGAGGUUCGCGCUCCGCAAGGAU
This 482-nucleotide ribosomal RNA is filed under the name Atractium crassum. Its description in RNAcentral is "eukaryotic LSU rRNA". It matches the Rfam family "Eukaryotic large subunit ribosomal RNA", at positions 116 to 611 of the family's 3401-position model. Lineage: Eukaryota; Fungi; Ascomycota; Sordariomycetes; Hypocreales; Nectriaceae. The record is from RNAcentral.